Molecule: ribosomal RNA, 442 nt
Filed under: uncultured bacterium
Lineage: Bacteria
Description: partial 16S ribosomal RNA
Rfam family: Bacterial small subunit ribosomal RNA
Source: RNAcentral
CCUACGGGUGGCAGCAGUGGGGAAUUUUGCGCAAUGCUCGUAAGAGUGACGCAGCGACGCCGCGUGAAUGACGAAGGCUUUCGGGUUGUAAACUUCUUUUGUCAGGGAAGAGUAGAAGACGGUACCUGACGAAUAAGCCACGGCUAACUACGUGCCAGCAGCCGCGGUAAUACGUAGGUGGCAAGCGUUGUCCGGAUUUACUGGGUGUAAAGGGCGUGUAGCCGGGUUGACAAGUCAGAUGUGAAAUCCUGCGGCUUAACCGCAGAACUGCAUUUGAAACUGUUGAUCUUGAGUACUGGAGAGGCAGAUGGAAUUCCUAGUGUAGCGGUGAAAUGCGUAGAUAUUAGGAGGAACACCAGUGGCGAAGGCGGUCUGCUGGACAGCAACUGACGGUGAGGCGCGAAAGCGUGGGGAGCAAACAGGAUUAGAUACCCCUGUAGUC